UACAGAGGUUCCAAGCGUUGUUCGGAUUCACUGGGCGUAAAGGGUGCGUAGGUGGCCAGGUAAGUUUGGUGUGAAAGCUCGGAGCUUAACUCCGAAAAGUCAUUGAAUACUAUCUGGCUGGAGGGUCGGAGGGGAGACUGGAAUUCUCGGUGUAGCAGUGAAAUGCGUAGAUAUCGAGAGGAACACCAGUGGCGAAGGCGAGUCUCUGGACGACUCCUGACACUGAGGCACGAAAGCUAGGGGAGCAAACAGG
This 253-nucleotide ribosomal RNA is filed under the name uncultured bacterium. RNAcentral describes it as "partial 16S ribosomal RNA". It matches the Rfam family "Bacterial small subunit ribosomal RNA", at positions 524 to 776 of the family's 1533-position model. The record is from RNAcentral.